CCCUUAGAUGUUCUGGGCUGCACGCGUGUUACAAUCGGGAGUACAACAAGAUUGCAAAUCCUAGUGGAUGAGUGGUUCUUCGAAAUUUUCUGAAGACUGGGAUAGUUGAUUGAAAUUAUUCAACUCGAACGAGGAAUUCCUUGUAAUUGUAAUUCAUUAUAUUGUAAUGAAUACGUCCCUGCCCUUUGUACACACCGCCCGUCGCUCCUACCGAUUGAACGAUCCGGUGAAUUAUUUGGAGUAGCUCUGGAAGUUGCAGAACUUCCAAUGUCACGAAAUUUUGUAAACCUUAUCGUUUAGAGGAAGGAGAAGUCGUAACA
This 320-nucleotide ribosomal RNA is filed under the name uncultured eukaryote. Its description in RNAcentral is "partial 18S ribosomal RNA". It matches the Rfam family "Eukaryotic small subunit ribosomal RNA", at positions 1470 to 1796 of the family's 1831-position model. The record is from RNAcentral.